This 153-nucleotide ribosomal RNA is filed under the name Stylonychia mytilus. Its description in RNAcentral is "5.8S ribosomal RNA". It matches the Rfam family "5.8S ribosomal RNA". From Rfam's summary of the family: 5.8S ribosomal RNA (5.8S rRNA) is a component of the large subunit of the eukaryotic ribosome. It is transcribed by RNA polymerase I as part of the 45S precursor that also contains 18S and 28S rRNA. Functionally, it is thought that 5.8S rRNA may be involved in ribosome translocation. Lineage: Eukaryota; Ciliophora; Spirotrichea; Sporadotrichida; Oxytrichidae. The record is from RNAcentral.
ACCAAAUUCUCAACGAUGGAUAUCUUGGUUCCCAUAACGAUGAARAACGCAGCGAAGUGCGAUAAGCAAUGCGAAUUGCAGAACCGUGAGUCAUCAGAUUUUUGAACGCAACUGGCGCUAGUUGGCUAUCCAAUUAGCAUGCUUGUUUCAGUG